UCAAGUUAUUAAGGGUGCAGGGCGGAUGCCUUGGCACUAGGAGCCGAUGAAGGACGUGAUAAGCUGCGAUAAGCUUCGGGGAGUUGCACGUAAACUUUGAUCCGAAGAUUUCCGAAUGAGGAAACUCACUUAGAGUAAUGUCUAAGUAUCAUUAAGUGAAUACAUAGCUUAAUGAGGGGAACUCAGGGAACUGAAACAUCUAAGUACCUGAAGGAAGAGAAAGAAAUUCGAUUCCGUAAGUAGCGGCGAGCGAACGCGGAUUAGCCCAAACCAAUAAAGUUUUCUUUAUUGGGGUUGCGGACAUAUCAUAACGAAGAGGUAUCGUAAUUGAAGAGGUUUGGAAAGACCCACCACAGAAGGUAAUAGUCCUGUAUGUUAAACGAGAAGACUUCAGAUAUGAUCCAGAGUACCACGGGACACGUGAAACCCUGUGGGAAGCAGGAGGGACCACCCUCCAAGGCUAAAUACUACCUAGUGACCGAUAGCGUAUAGUACCGUGAGGGAAAGGUGAAAAGAACCCCGGGAGGGGAGUGAAAUAGAACCUGAAACCCUGCACUUACAAGCUGUGGAAGCACAUUUCUUGUGUGACCGCGUACUUUUUGUAGAACGGGCCAACGAGUUACGUUAAGUAGCAAGGUUAAGCACUUAAGGUGUGGAGCCGUAGCGAAAGCGAGUUUUAACUGAGCGUUCAGUUACUUGACGUAGACCCGAAACCGGGCGACCUACCCAUGAGCAGGAUGAAGCGAAAGUAAAAUUUCGUGGAGGUCCGAACCCACGAGCGUUGAAAAGCUCGGGGAUGACUUGUGGGUAGCGGUGAAAUUCCAAUCGAGCCCGGAGAUAGCUGGUUCUCCCCGAAAUAGCUUUAGGGCUAGCCUCAAGGUGAGAGAUACGGAGGUAGAGCACUGAAUGUCCUAGGGGGUAUUGCACCUACCGAAGACUAUCAAACUCCGAAUGCCGUCAUCUUAUACUUGGGAGUCAGACUGUGGGUGAUAAGAUUCAUAGUCGAAAGGGCAACAGCCCAGAUCGUCAGCUAAGGUCCCUAAAUGUAAGUUAAGUGGUAAAGGAUGUGGGAUUGCACAGACAACCAGGAUGUUGGCUUAGAAGCAGCCACUCAUUCAAAGAGUGCGUAAUAGCUCACUGGUCGAGUGAUCCUGCGCCGAAGAUUUCCGGGGCUAAAACUUACUACCGAAGCUACGGCAUCAGUAAUGAUGGGUAGGGGAGCUUCCCAUACGGGUUGAAGCAUGACCGUAAGGACAUGUGGACAGUAUGGGAGUGAGAAUGUUGGCAUGAGUAGCGAGAUGUGGGUGAGAAUCCCACAGGCCGUAAACCCAAGGUUUCCAGGGGAAGGUUCGUCCGCCCUGGGUUAGUCGGGACCUAAGCUGAGGCCGAAAGGCGUAGGUGAUGGACAACAGGUUGAUAUUCCUGUACUACCGAUAACCGUUUGAGAGAAGGGAUGACACAGUAGGAUAAGCUAAGCACACUGUUGGUUAUGUGUGCCCAAGCAUUGAGGCAGUCAAAGUAGGCAAAUCCGCUUUGAUAAUGCUGGGAUGUGAUGGGGAGCGAAAUUUAGUAGCGAAGUAGCUGAUUUCACACUGUCAAGAAAAGUCUCUAUCGAGGUUAAAGGUACCCGUACCGCAAACCGACACAGGUGGGUGAGGAGAGUAUCCUAAGGCCAGCGAGAGAACUGUUGUUAAGGAACUCGGCAAAAUGACCCCGUAACUUAGGGAUAAGGGGUGCCACCAUCAGGUGGCCGCAGAGAAUAGGCCCAAGCGACUGUUUACCAAAAACAUAGGUUUCUGCUAAGUCGCAAGACGAUGUAUAGGAGCUGACGCCUGCCCGGUGCUGGAAGGUUAAGGGGAUCUGUUAGAGCAAUCGAAGCAGUGAACUUAAGCCCCAGUAAACGGCGGCCGUAACUAUAACGGUCCUAAGGUAGCGAAAUUCCUUGUCGGGUAAGUUCCGACCCGCACGAAAGGCGUAACGAUUUGGGCACUGUCUCAACAACAGACUCGGUGAAAUUGUAAUUCCGUUGAAGAUGCCGGAUACCUGCGACAGGACGGAAAGACCCCAUGGAGCUUUACUGUAGCUUGACAUUGGGUCUUGGUACUACAUGUACAGGAUAGGUGGGAGGCUUUGAAACCAGGACGCCAGUUUUGGCGGAGCCAUCCUUGGGAUACCACCCUUGUAGUACUGGGACUCUAACCAUAGGCCAUGAAUCUGGUCUUGGGACACUGUCAGGUGGGCAGUUUGACUGGGGCGGUCGCCUCCCAAAAGGUAACGGAGGCGCUCAAAGGUUCUCUCAGUACGGUCGGAAAUCGUACGUAGAGUGUAAAGGCAAAAGAGAGCUUGAUUGCAAGACAUACAGGUCGAGCAAGGAUGAAAAUCGGACUUAGUGAUCCGGUGGUUCUGCGUGGAAGGGCCAUCGCUCAACGGAUAAAAGCUACCCUGGGGAUAACAGGCUUAUCUCCCCCAAGAGUCCACAUCGACGGGGAGGUUUGGCACCUCGAUGUCGGCUCAUCACAUCCUGGGGCUGUAGUAGGUCCCAAGGGUUGGGCUGUUCGCCCAUUAAAGUGGUACGCGAGCUGGGUUCAGAACGUCGUGAGACAGUUCGGUCCCUAUCCGUCGCAGGCGUAGGAAAUUUGAGAAGACCUGUCCUUAGUACGAGAGGACCGGGAUGGACGUACCUCUGGUGUACCAGUUGUUCUGCCAAGGGCAUGGCUGGGUAGCUAUGUACGGAAUGGAUAAGCGCUGAAAGCAUCUAAGCGCGAAGCCAACUUCAAGAUAAGAUUUCCCACCGCAAGGGUAAGACCCCAGAAAGACUAUCUGGUUGAUAGGUCGAAGGUGUAAGUGCAGCAAUGUAUUUAGCUUAUCGAUACUAAUAGGUCGAGGACUUGACCAA
This 2896-nucleotide ribosomal RNA is filed under the name Clostridioides difficile. RNAcentral describes it as "23S ribosomal RNA". It matches the Rfam family "Bacterial large subunit ribosomal RNA". Lineage: Bacteria; Bacillati; Bacillota; Clostridia; Peptostreptococcales; Peptostreptococcaceae. The record is from RNAcentral.